RNAcentral lists this ribosomal RNA (325 nucleotides) under uncultured eukaryote. RNAcentral's name for it is "partial 18S ribosomal RNA". It matches the Rfam family "Eukaryotic small subunit ribosomal RNA", at positions 1470 to 1796 of the family's 1831-position model. The record is from RNAcentral.
CCCUUAGAUGUUCUGGGCCGCACGCGCGCUACACUGAUGCAUUCAACGAGUUUUACCUUGGCCGAGAGGCCUGGGCAAUCUUUUGAACAUGCAUCGUGAUAGGGAUAGAUUAUUGCAAUUAUUAAUCUUGAACGAGGAAUUCCUAGUAAACGCAGAUCAUCAAUCUGCAUUGAUUACGUCCCUGCCCUUUGUACACACCGCCCGUCGCACCUACCGAUUGAAUGGUCCGGUGAAGCCUCGGGAUUGUGGCUGAUUCGCUUUAUUGGGAGUUGGUCGCGAGAACUUGUCUAAACCUUAUCAUUUAGAGGAAGGUGAAGUCGUANCA